GAGCGGGUACGUCUUCCCGCAACAUCGAACCGCUCCGAACCUGCACAAAAUCCAAGCUUGACUUCUCCACAUCGAGAUUCCAGUGACCCGUGAAGGCUCUCCAAAGUGGCUCCCGGUCUCGCCAUCGUCGUCACGUCGGAGCUCUCAUCCAUCAAAAUCCAUCGCUGAGUUCGUGACCAGACCACAACACGAUAGCAUUUGCUCCAUAUGAAGCUUCUUCGGUGCGUUCUUGCUUUGCAACCGGCAUCUCCGUCUUGUUCCGUUCUCGUGGUCACCGGAAUCAGCCAAGCUCGAACCACGAAGCUCCGGCCAUUUGAUUAAGCUCCGACGAACCGUGAUAGCUCGUGCCGUAGUCUCUCCUCCCCGAUUCACGCCGUCGUCGUCAUCAAUAAAUCGCGGCUGUGCUCAGAGUCGCCGCCGUGACCUCAGCUCGAGCCGUGAAAGCAUGUCCUGAAGCUCCGGGGUCGUCGCUUCUCUGCUCCGUCCGUGCCGUGCUCGCAACCAAACAGGCUCGCCGUCGUCAGCAACCAGAACCGGCG
RNAcentral lists this long non-coding RNA (539 nucleotides) under Brassica napus (rape). RNAcentral's name for it is "long non-coding RNA (BNAP_LNC021269)". The record is from RNAcentral. Lineage: Eukaryota; Viridiplantae; Streptophyta; Magnoliopsida; Brassicales; Brassicaceae.